CAUGACUGGGGUGAAGUCGUAACAAGGUAGCGCUAGGGGAACCUGGCGCUGGAUCACCUCCUUACACGAUGAU
Molecule: ribosomal RNA, 73 nt
Filed under: Vibrio cholerae
Lineage: Bacteria; Pseudomonadati; Pseudomonadota; Gammaproteobacteria; Vibrionales; Vibrionaceae
Description: partial 16S ribosomal RNA
Rfam family: Bacterial small subunit ribosomal RNA (bases 1-64)
Source: RNAcentral